UAGGACGUCUUAUUAAGGUUUAAGACCCGCUCUCUCCUUCCAUCAGCUAGGAGGUUUUCUUAGCUUGAAAACCCGCUCUUUUAUCCAGGUUUGCAUGAGGGCAAUGUAUUGUGCACCAGCUCAGCAAGUUUUUCAGACUUCGCAAAUAUUAUUUGCCAUAUAUGUCAAGAUUAUGAUGUCAUUUUUAUAUAAUUUUAUAAAAAUUUCCACAUUGAAUUUGCACUAAUCCGGUUCAGGCUAGACGGAUUUGCAAAAUAAUUUGCACAGGCCCAUAUGUGUUUAGAUUAUGAUAUCAUCUCAGAUUUAAAUUUUUCUCAAUUUGUAUUUAUUUAGAUCAUUAAAUGUAUUUUACAGGGUGACCCAGACACUGGGUGUCCUAAUAUGAUUUUAUUGAUUUCUGGAUUUAGCCAAAUAAAGCUGUUUUCUAUUAA
Long non-coding RNA from Eurytemora carolleeae, 431 nucleotides. RefSeq lists it as uncharacterized. The transcript is spliced from 2 exons. NCBI's taxonomy places the organism in Eukaryota, Metazoa, Arthropoda, Copepoda, Calanoida, Temoridae. The record is from RefSeq and is a predicted model, not a curated record.